Molecule: long non-coding RNA, 2158 nt
Organism: Oncorhynchus keta (chum salmon)
Lineage: Eukaryota; Metazoa; Chordata; Actinopteri; Salmoniformes; Salmonidae
Exons: 6
Source: RefSeq, a predicted model, not a curated record
UUCUAUUCUAAUAGGUCGUCUGGUUAGUGUGCCUAAUUCCAGUUUGAGUAGUGCCGUUCUAUUCUAAUAGGUCGUCUGGUUAGUGUGCCUAAUUCCAGUUUGAAUAGUGCCGUUCUAUUCUAAUAGAUCGUCUGGUUAGUGUGCCUAAUUCCAGUUUGAGUAGUGCCGUUCUAUUCUAAUAGGUCGUCUGGUUAGUGUGCCUAAUUCCAGUUUGAGUAGUGCCGUUCUAUUCUAAUAGGUCGUCUGGUUAGUGUGCCUAAUUCCAGUUUGAGUAGUGCCGUUCUAUUCUAAUAGGUCGUCUGGUUAGUGUGCCUAAUUCCAGUUUGAGUAGUGCCGUUCUAUUCUAAUAGGUCGUCUGGUUAGUGUGCCUAAUUCCAGUUUGAGUAGUGCCGUUCUAUUCUAAUAGGUCGUCUGGUUAGUGUACCUAAUUCCAGUUUGAGUAGUGCCGUUCUAUUCUAAUAGGUCGUCUGGUUAGUGUACCUAAUUCCAGUUUGAGUAGUGCCGUUCUAUUCUAAUAGGUCGUCUGGUUAGUGUGCCUAAUUCCAGUUUGAGUAGUGCCGUUCUAUUCUAAUAGAUCGUCUGGUUAGUGUGCCUAAUUCCAGUUUGAGUAGUGCCGUUCUAUUCUAAUAGGUCGUCUGGUUAGUGUGCCUAAUUCCAGUUUGAGUAGUGCCGUUCUAUUCUAAUAGGUCGUCUGGUUAGUGUACCUAAUUCCAGUUUGAGUAGUGCCGUUCUAUUCUAAUAGAUCGUCUGGUUAGUGUACCUAAUUCCAGUUUGAAUAGUGCCGUUCUAUUCUAAUAGGUCGUCUGGUUAGUGUACCUAAUUCCAGUUUGAGUAGUGCCGUUCUAUUCUAAUAGGUCGUCUGGUUAGUGUACCUAAUUCCAGUUUGAAUAGUGCCAUUCUAUUCUAAUAGGUCGUCUGGUUAGUGUACCUAAUUCCAGUUUGAAUAGUGCCGUUCUAUUCUAAUAGGUCGUCUGGUUAGUGUGCCUAAUUCCAGUUUGAGUAGUGCCGUUCUAUUCUAAUAGGUCGUCUGGUUAGUGUACCUAAUUCCAGUUUGAGUAGUGCCGUUCUAUUCUAAUAGAUCGUCUGGUUAGUGUACCUAAUUCCAGUUUGAAUAGUGCCGUUCUAUUCUAAUAGGUCGUCUGGUUAGUGUGCCUAAUUCCAGUAUGCCUCAGCCUGUGACUGAGACAGAUUUUAGACCUGGGACACCAGGUGGGUGAUUCCCCUCUAGUCAGGGACUAAUUUAGACCUAGGACACCAGGUGGGUGAUUCCCCUCUAGUCAGGGACUAAUUUAGACCUAGGACACCAGGUGGGUGAUUCCCCUCUAGUCAGGGACUGAUUUAGACCUGGGACACCAGGUGGGUGAUUCCCCUCUAAUCAGGGACUGAUUUAGACCUGGGACACCAGGUGGGUGAUUCCCCUCUAAUCAGGGACUGAUUUAGACCUGGGACACCAGGUGGGUGAUUCCCCUCUAAUCAGGGACUGAUUUAGACCUGGGACACCAGGUGGGUGAUUCCCCUCUAGUCAGGGACUGAUUUAGACCUGGGACGCCAGGUGGGUGAUUCCCCUCUAAUCAGGGACUGAUUUAGACCUGGGACACCAGGUGGGUGAUUCCCCUCUAGUCAGGGACUGAUUUAGACCUGGGACACCAGGUGGGUGAUUCCCCUCUAAUCAGGGACUGAUUUAGACCUGGGACACCAGGUGGGUGAUUCCCCUCUAGUCAGGGACUGAUUUAGACCUGGGACACCAGGUGGGUGAUUCCCCUCUAGUCAGGGACUGAUUUAGACCUGGGACACCAGGUGGGUGAUUCCCCUCUAGUCAGAGACUGAUUUAGACCUGGGACACCAGGUGGGUGAUUCCCCUCUAGUCAGGGACUGAUUUAGACCUGGGACACCAGGUGGGUGAUUCCCCUCUAGUCAGGGACUGAUUUAGACCUGGGACACCAGGUGGGUGAUUCCCCUCUAAUCAGGGACUGAUUUAGACCUGGGACACCAGGUGGGUGAUUCCCCUCUAGUCAGGGACUGAUUUAGACCUGGGACACCAGGUGGGUGAUUCCCCUCUAGUCAGGGACUGAUUUAGACCUGGGACACCAGGUGGGUGAUUCCCCUCUAGUCAGGGACUGAUUUAGACCUGGGACACCAGGUGGGUGAUUCCCCUCUA